CGCUGGGCGCAAGCUGCUCAUGCCUCCAUAUUAGAGAAUACCCGACUUCAUCCACCACAUAAUUGCUCCACCUAAAUCUAUGAUGAUCCACCACCCCAUAAAAAUCAAGAUCAUGAUAUUAGGAACCCUAGCACGACAGCACUCAUUCUCUGAUAAGAGAUUUGCAGUUGAUCUUCCCUUUCAUAUCAAAGGCCGAUCGUAUACUCCAACACUGCGAAGCAGGGACGGUGAAGACUGAUAAAACCAAUGCCGCACAGUUCAAUAGCCAUCAGUUGUCGGUUCAAAGUAAAGCACACCAGUUGAUUUUGUUAUCCAAUAGUGCGUGUAUCAGAAGUGACCGAUAGUGUCGAGCGCGGUCUGACCGACAAUGCAGUCUAUAAUUACGAUGGUUCUUACGACAAGUGCGAUGGCUUACUGUGAGUGAGCAAAACAUUUCUUUUGAGAUCGGCCUUUUCUUGUUACCAACGAGUGUCGUGGUG
This is a long non-coding RNA of Aedes albopictus (Asian tiger mosquito), 479 nucleotides long. RefSeq lists it as uncharacterized. The transcript has 3 exons. NCBI's taxonomy places the organism in Eukaryota, Metazoa, Arthropoda, Insecta, Diptera, Culicidae. The record is from RefSeq and is a predicted model, not a curated record.